Molecule: microRNA precursor, 108 nt
Filed under: Dasypus novemcinctus (nine-banded armadillo)
Lineage: Eukaryota; Metazoa; Chordata; Mammalia; Cingulata; Dasypodidae
Description: miRNA (ENSDNOG00000029181.1)
Source: RNAcentral
AUACAUUAUAUAUAUAUAUAUAUAUAUAUAUAUAUACACACACACAUAUAUAUAUAAUGUAUAUAUAUAUACACACACACACACAUAUAUAUAAUGUGUAUAUAUAUA